UUGAUCCUGGCUCAGGAUGAACGCUAGCUACAGGCUUAACACAUGCAAGUCGAGGGGCAGCGGGAUUGAAGCUUGCUUCAAUUGCCGGCGACCGGCGCACGGGUGAGUAACGCGUAUCCAACCUUCCGUACACUCAGGGAUAGCCUUUCGAAAGAAAGAUUAAUACCUGAUGGUAUGAUGAGAUUGCAUGAUAGCAUCAUUAAAGAUUUAUCGGUGUACGAUGGGGAUGCGUUCCAUUAGGUAGUAGGCGGGGUAACGGCCCACCUAGCCGACGAUGGAUAGGGGUUCUGAGAGGAAGGUCCCCCACAUUGGAACUGAGACACGGUCCAAACUCCUACGGGAGGCAGCAGUGAGGAAUAUUGGUCAAUGGACGAGAGUCUGAACCAGCCAAGUAGCGUGAAGGAUGAAGGUCCUACGGAUUGUAAACUUCUUUUAUAAGGGAAUAAACCCUUCCACGUGUGGGAGCUUGUAUGUACCUUAUGAAUAAGCAUCGGCUAACUCCGUGCCAGCAGCCGCGGUAAUACGGAGGAUGCGAGCGUUAUCCGGAUUUAUUGGGUUUAAAGGGAGCGCAGACGGGUCGUUAAGUCAGCUGUGAAAGUUUGGGGCUCAACCUUAAAAUUGCAGUUGAUACUGGCGUCCUUGAGUGCGGUUGAGGUGUGCGGAAUUCGUGGUGUAGCGGUGAAAUGCUUAGAUAUCACGAAGAACUCCGAUUGCGAAGGCAGCACACUAAGCCGUAACUGACGUUCAUGCUCGAAAGUGUGGGUAUCAAACAGGAUUAGAUACCCUGGUAGUCCACACGGUAAACGAUGGAUACUCGCUGUUGGCGAUAUACUGUCAGCGGCUUAGCGAAAGCGUUAAGUAUCCCACCUGGGGAGUACGCCGGCAACGGUGAAACUCAAAGGAAUUGACGG
RNAcentral lists this ribosomal RNA (911 nucleotides) under uncultured bacterium. RNAcentral describes it as "bacterial SSU rRNA". It matches the Rfam family "Bacterial small subunit ribosomal RNA", at positions 13 to 916 of the family's 1533-position model. The record is from RNAcentral.